RNAcentral lists this ribosomal RNA (489 nucleotides) under uncultured bacterium. RNAcentral's name for it is "partial 16S ribosomal RNA". It matches the Rfam family "Bacterial small subunit ribosomal RNA", at positions 30 to 507 of the family's 1533-position model. The record is from RNAcentral.
AUUGAACGCUGGCGGCAGGCCUAACACAUGCAAGUCGAACGGUAACAGGAAGCAGCUUGCUGCUUCGCUGACGAGUGGCGGACGGGUGAGUAAUGUCUGGGAAGCUGCCUGCUGGAGGGGGAUAACUAAUGGAAACGGUAGCUAAUACCGCAUAAUGUUGCAAGACCAAAGAGGGGGCCCUUCGGGCCUCUUGCCAUCGGAUGUGCCCAGAUGGGAUUAGCUUGUUGGUGGGGUAACGGCUCACCAAGGCGAUGAUCCCUAGCUGGUCUGAGGGGAUGACCAGCAGCACUGAAGCGAGGACACGGACCAAACUCGUACGGGAGACAGCGGUGGGAAAUAUAGCACAGGGGGCGCAGGCGAAAUGCGGCCAUGCGGCGUGAGUGAAAAAGACCUACGGGUUGUAAGUACUUUCAGCGGGGAGGAAGGAAGUAAAGUUAAUACCUUUGCUCAUUGACGUUACCCGCAGAAGAAGCACCGGCUAACUCCGUG